RNAcentral lists this ribosomal RNA (253 nucleotides) under uncultured bacterium. Its description in RNAcentral is "partial 16S ribosomal RNA". It matches the Rfam family "Bacterial small subunit ribosomal RNA", at positions 524 to 776 of the family's 1533-position model. The record is from RNAcentral.
UACGGGGGGGGCAAGCGUUGUUCGGAAUUACUGGGCGUAAAGGGCUCGUAGGCGGCCAACUAAGUCAGACGUGAAAUCCCUCGGCUUAACCGGGGAACUGCGUCUGAUACUGGAUGGCUUGAAUCCGGAAGAGGGAUGCGGAAUUCCAGGUGUAGCGGUGAAAUGCGUAGAUAUCUGGAGGAACACCGGUGGCGAAGGCGGCAUCCUGGACCGGCAUUGACGCUGAGGAGCGAAAGCGUGGGGAGCAAACGGG